AUUGAACGCUGGCGGCAUGCCUUACACAUGCAAGUCGAACGGUAACAGGUCUUCGGAUGCUGACGAGUGGCGAACGGGUGAGUAAUACAUCGGAACGUGCCUAGUAGUGGGGGAUAACUACUCGAAAGAGUGGCCAAUACCGCAUGAGAUCUACGGAUGAAAGCAGGGGAUCGCAAGACCUUGUGCUACUAGAGCGGCCGAUGGCAGAUUAGGUAGUUGGUGGGAUAAAAGCUUACCAAGCCGACGAUCUGUAGCUGGUCUGAGAGGACGAUCAGCCACACUGGGGCUGAGACACGGCCCAGACUCCUACGGGAGGCAGCAGUGGGGAAUUUUGGACAAUGGGCGAAAGCCUGAUCCAGCAAUGCCGCGUGCAGGAUGAAGGCCUUCGGGUUGUAAACUGCUUUUGUACGGAACGAAAAGCCCCGGGUUAAUACCCUGGGGUCAUGACGGUACUGUAAGAAUAAGCACCGGCUAACUACGUGCCAGCCGCCGCCGUAA
Molecule: ribosomal RNA, 498 nt
Filed under: uncultured bacterium
Lineage: Bacteria
Description: partial 16S ribosomal RNA
Rfam family: Bacterial small subunit ribosomal RNA
Source: RNAcentral